AACCUUAUGGACCUGCGGGCGUAUACCUGCGGAAGGAUCAUUACAGAGUUGCAAAACUCCCUAAACCAUUGUGAACGUUACCUAAACCGUUGCUUCGGCGGGCGGCCCGGGUCCUUCCCGGCGCCCCUCGGCCCUCGCGGGCGCCCGCCGGAGGUAAACCAAACUAUUGCAUUGUAUGGCCUCUCUGAGUCUUCUGUACUGAAUAAGUCAAAACUUUUAGCAACGGAUCUCAGAUCGGAA
RNAcentral lists this unclassified non-coding RNA (240 nucleotides) under soil metagenome. Its description in RNAcentral is "partial contains 5.8S ribosomal RNA, internal transcribed spacer 2, and large subunit ribosomal RNA". The record is from RNAcentral.